This 432-nucleotide ribosomal RNA is filed under the name uncultured bacterium. RNAcentral's name for it is "partial 16S ribosomal RNA". It matches the Rfam family "Bacterial small subunit ribosomal RNA", at positions 338 to 795 of the family's 1533-position model. The record is from RNAcentral.
CCUACGGGAGGCAGCAGUGGGGAAUUUUGGACAAUGGGGGCAACCCUGAUCCAGCCAUGCCGCGUGUGUGAAGAAGGCCUUCGGGUUGUAAAGCACCCGACAUGCGUGAUCGGUACCGGAAGAAGAAGCACCGGCUAACUACGUGCCAGCAGCCGCGGUAAUACGUAGGGUGCGAGCGUUAAUCGGAAUUACUGGGCGUAAAGUGUGCGCAGGCGGCCGAGCAAGUCGAGUGUGAAAGCCCCGGGCUUAACCUGGGAACUGCGCUCGAAACUACUUGGCUUGAGUGUGGCAGAGGGAGGUGGAAUUCCACGUGUAGCGGUGAAAUGCGUAGAGAUGUGGAGGAACACCGAUGGCGAAGGCAGCCUCCUGGGCCAAACUGACGCUCAUGCACGAAAGCGUGGGGAGCAAACAGGAUUAGAUACCCUUGUAGUC